Molecule: ribosomal RNA, 372 nt
Filed under: uncultured bacterium
Lineage: Bacteria
Description: bacterial SSU rRNA
Rfam family: Bacterial small subunit ribosomal RNA
Source: RNAcentral
GAACCGAGCGAACGUUGUUCGGAAUCACUGGGCUUAAAGGGCGCGUAGGCGGGCGGGCAAGUCCGGGGUGAAAGCAUACGGCUCAACCGUAUCAGUGCCUUGGAUACUGCCUGUCUCGAGGGAGGUAGGGGCGUGCGGAACUUCCGGUGGAGCGGUGAAAUGCGUAGAUAUCGGAAGGAACACCGGUGGCGAAAGCGGCGCGCUGGGCCUCUUCUGACGCUGAGGCGCGAAAGCCAGGGGAGCAAACGGGAUUAGAUACCCCGGUAGUCCUGGCCCUAAACGAUGGGCACUAGGUUGUGGGCUGAACAUGGGCUCACAGCCGAAGCAAAAGUGUUAAGUGCCCCGCCUGGGGAGUAUGGUCGCAAGGCUGAA